AGUGAACGCUGGCGGUAGGCCUAACACAUGCAAGUCGAACGGCAGCACAGUAAGAGCUUGCUCUUACGGGUGGCGAGUGGCGGACGGGUGAGGAAUACAUCGGAAUCUACUUUUUCGUGGGGGAUAACGUAGGGAAACUUACGCUAAUACCGCAUACGACCUACGGGUGAAAGCAGGGGAUCUUCGGACCUUGCGCGAUUGAAUGAGCCGAUGUCGGAUUAGCUAGUUGGCGGGGUAAAGGCCCACCAAGGCGACGAGCCGUAGCUGGUCUGAGAGGAUGAUCAGCCACACUGGAGCUGAGACACGGUCCAGACUCCUACGGGAGGCAGCAGUGGGGAAUAUGGGACAAUGGGCGCAAGCCUGAUCCAGCCAUACCGCGUGGGUGAAGAAGGCCUUCGGGUUGUAAAGCCCUUUUGUUGGGAAAGAAAAGCAGCAGGUUAAUACCCCGCUGUUCUGACGGUACCCAAAGAAUAAGCACCGGCUAACUUCGUG
Molecule: ribosomal RNA, 492 nt
Filed under: uncultured bacterium
Lineage: Bacteria
Description: partial 16S ribosomal RNA
Rfam family: Bacterial small subunit ribosomal RNA
Source: RNAcentral